GACGAACGCUGGCGGCGUGCCUAAUACAUGCAAGUAGAACGCACAGUUUAUACUGUCGCUUGCUUUACCCUACACUGUGAGUUGCGAACGGGUGAGUACCGCGUAGGUAACCUGCCUGGCAGCGGGGGAUAACUACUGGUACCGCUAGCUAAUACCGCAUAAUAUUAAUUAUUGCAUGAUCAUUGAUUUAUAGAUGCAAUUGCAUCCCUAUUAGCUGGAUCUGCGUUGUAUUAGCUAGUAGGUGAGGUAACGGCUCACCUAGGCGACGGAACAUAGCCGACCCGAGAGGGAGGACGACCAAACUGGGACUGGGACACGGCCCAGACCCCUACGGGAAGCAGCAGGAGGGGAUCUUCGGAAAUGGACGAAAGGCUGACCGAGGAACGCCGCGGGAGGGGAGAAGGGUCUCGGAUCGUAAAGCUCCGUUGUGUGAGAAGAACGGGUGGGAGGGUGGAAAGUUCACACUGUGACGGUAUCUAAACAGAAAGGGACGGCUAACUACGUG
RNAcentral lists this ribosomal RNA (505 nucleotides) under uncultured bacterium. RNAcentral describes it as "partial 16S ribosomal RNA". It matches the Rfam family "Bacterial small subunit ribosomal RNA", at positions 28 to 507 of the family's 1533-position model. The record is from RNAcentral.